AUUGAACGCUGGCGGCAUGCUUUACACAUGCAAGUCGAACGGUAACAGGCCUUCGGGUGCUGACGAGUGGCGAACGGGUGAGUAAUGCAUCGGAACGUGCCCAGAGGUGGGGGAUAACGCAGCGAAAGCUGUGCUAAUACCGCAUGUGAUCUGAGGAUGAAAGCGGGGGACCAAGCAGCAAUGUUUGGCCUCGCGCCUCUGGAGCGGCCGAUGUCAGAUUAGGUAGUUGGUGGGGUAAAGGCCUACCAAGCCGACGAUCUGUAGCUGGUCUGAGAGGACGACCAGCCACACUGGGACUGAGACACGGCCCAGACUCCUACGGGAGGCAGCAGUGGGGAAUUUUGGACAAUGGGCGCAAGCCUGAUCCAGCAAUGCCGCGUGCGGGAAGAAGGCCUUCGGGUUGUAAACCGCUUUUGUACGGAACGAAAAGGCUCUGGCUAAUACCUGGGGCUGAUGACGGUACCGUAAGAAUAAGCACCGGCUAACUACGUGCCAGCAGCCGCGGUAAUACGUAGGGUGCGAGCGUUAAUCGGAAUUACUGGGCGUAAAGCGUGCGCAGGCGGUCUUGUAAGACAGAGGUGAAAUCCCUGGGCUCAACCUAGGAGUGGCCUUUGUGACUGCAAGGCUGGAGUGCGGCAGAGGGGGAUGGAAUUCCGCGUGUAGCAGUGAAAUGCGUAGAUAUGCGGAGGAACACCGAUGGCGAAGGCAGUCCCCUGGGCCUGCACUGACGCUCAUGCACGAAAGCGUGGGGAGCAAACAGG
RNAcentral lists this ribosomal RNA (761 nucleotides) under uncultured Tepidimonas sp. Its description in RNAcentral is "bacterial SSU rRNA". It matches the Rfam family "Bacterial small subunit ribosomal RNA", at positions 28 to 776 of the family's 1533-position model. The record is from RNAcentral. Lineage: Bacteria; Pseudomonadati; Pseudomonadota; Betaproteobacteria; Burkholderiales.